UGCAGAGUCACCUGUACACACCUCACAGCCUUAUUAGCAUAAUCGGAACCUUUCUGGUUUUUAUAUUCACGAAAGAAUGAAAAUACCCGAGAAAGUCAAAACUUCGUAUAUCUCGGGAUUUUAACGAGACCAGUCUAAUACUCGUGAAAAUCGAGAGGGGAGUUUAAAUGGAAAAAGUAAGUAAAAGUUUUUGUUUCUUAUAUUGGCUAGCUUUUAAAUUAUUUAAAGUUGCAGAAUAAUUGUUUAUUAAUGUGAAGUCGAAGUUUGGGGUGAUUAGCCUUAUCUCGUUAAAUUUUGUUCAGCAUGAAACAGUCUGAACAGCAAUCCUCGAUUUUGUCAACAAUCUAAAACGUGCUAAGGAGUAGUCAUUCGUCGAUUUACCUGCGGCUUCCAGAUGAUCUGAAGAUCGGGAAUAUAGAAAAUGUUGUCAAUUUGAUAUUGCUAAUGACCCAGUCAUGUCUGCUGAAGCCAAGAAGUUUCCAGACCAUGACAUUCAUGAAUAUUUCUUGAAUGGAAUGCAUGAGGAUUAGAAUGGAACCUUAUUCUGCCUUUUUGCCAACUCACACCAUCUUUUCAAGAUUUAUGGAGCCAACCACAGAAGAAUUUGUUCUUUACACAUCAUUUAUAACAUUCUUAUUUUAAUAUGUUGCAUAACUUUACAUAAAUAGUGCCUGUUUGGGAGGGUAACAGUUGAAAUUGACACCCCGAGAAAACCAUUGUCAACCGACGCAAAGCAGAGGUUGACAAUGGUUUUUACGAGGGGUGUCAAUUUCAACUAUUAUCCUCCCAAACAGGCACUUUUUAUUUUGUUAUACUGAAUGUCUUAAUUUUUAAGAAAAUUUUACUGCUUUUAUAUAGGAAUAAUGUGAAUUCUACAGCUAACCGUAUGCGCAUAAUUUUCGCGCAUGUAACAAUUUUUAAUGUUACCCGUUGCUAAGUGCAUUGCUAACGCUGAGGGUAAUAGAAAGGAUUAUGAACUGCCUCUUAACCAAUCAGAUUUCAGUAUCUAACAUGAACGUAUAACAAUGAAUGUUACUGGAUGAAUUGUGUUCACAUAAUGAAUACCAGCAAACUUUUUAUCGAGUGCACUUAAUUUGUAUUUUUCCUACCCAUCCAUCUAACAUAUGUUUUUAUAUAACAUAUUCAUAUACAUGUAACAUUUUUGGAAACAGCUAUUUUUUUUCAAAUUGGAAUUUAGCCUUACUAUUUUAUACAAGUUUUUUUUAAAGGGACUUGGACACGAUUUUAGAUCAAAAUUUUGUUUUCAAUUUCUUUAUGCAUAAAAUGAUUUACUUGCACAUUUUGAAUAAUUGACCAUAAUUUGAAUGUUAGAAGUCAAGUUAUAAGAGAGAUACAGGGUAAGAAUUUAGUUAUGUAAACAAAGCUCGAGUCUUAUGUUUGUUUACAAAUGAUAUAAAGUAUGAAAUUACCACUUCUUUGAGAAAAUGAUUCGUAGAAAAGAAGGUAAACUGAUUCGAUGUGAUCAUAAAUGAUAUUAUUAAUAGAAAAAAGCAACAUUUGAAUGAAACUUACACCAAUAAAACACAUAUGUAAAUAUUAACAAGACUCGCGCUUUGUUUACAAAACAAAGAAUAUUUAAUUCUUAAUCUUUCUUUUAACUCAGUAUUUGACUUUCAAAUUUUGACAAAGCAUUAAAAAUACCCAUAUCAACCAUUCUAAAUAUUGAAAAUGGAAAUAUGAAAUUUUAAAUUUUAAGCUCAAAUUGUGUCUAAGUCCCUUUAAUAUACUCUUUUGUAUACAAACAGAACAAAAAUACUUAGUUACAAUGGGAAAUGGACAUAAUAUAUAUAAAAGUGUCUGAUAAAAGUAUAGGUCUUGUUCAUGAACAGAAGAAAUUGACAGAAAAAUAUUCAGUUUUAGCCAUGAAAUACAAAUAUUAAUAUUUUUUAAGAAUAUUAUUUAAUCUAAAUAAGUUAUAAAAGGUUUUUUUCCUUUAUUCCAAUGUUUGGAAACAAAUCCAAUAUAUAAUUAAAAUUGCUGUACAGUAUAUCCUAUUGAUUCCUAUAAUAUAUCACUUUAGUUUCUUGAACAUCAUGUUUAUAAUAUUACUUUUUUUCUUAAAAUGAUGUAUACAAGGUCAUUCAUUUAUUUUCAUUAUAUUCAACUAGAUACAAAUAGGCGUUCUGCAACCUUUUCAUUGUUUAAAUGGUAUGGAGUUUUAAUUACCUUUCAUAUGAAAAAUGACAUCUAAAUCUUAAAUUGCUGUACAUUAUAUCCUAUCCAUCUAAUGUAUCACGUUAUUAAUGUUGAACUUCGUGUCUAUUAGUAUAAUGAGUUUUUUAGAAUGACAUAUGCAAUUUCAUUAAUUUAUUUUUCAUUUUAAGAAAAUUCAUUUUAAAAAAGAUCUCUUACAACCUGUGUAUUUUUUUUUCAGUUCACAUAACACAGUGUAUUAAUUGAAUGUAGUUGUGUAGAUUUAUACAUGUACCUACAAGCAAUAUACAUUUAAUAUUCACCAGGUACAUGUACCAGCCUACUAUAUUUGAUAAAUAAAUGUACUUCUUUCAUGCCUUUUUCAUGCCUUUUACUCAUUGUUAUAUGUAUUAUUUAUAAUUAAAAUACUUUGAAAACUUUU
Molecule: long non-coding RNA, 2596 nt
Organism: Magallana angulata
Lineage: Eukaryota; Metazoa; Mollusca; Bivalvia; Ostreida; Ostreidae
Exons: 3
Source: RefSeq, a predicted model, not a curated record